Molecule: ribosomal RNA, 735 nt
Filed under: Triticum aestivum (bread wheat)
Lineage: Eukaryota; Viridiplantae; Streptophyta; Magnoliopsida; Poales; Poaceae
Description: partial small subunit ribosomal RNA
Source: RNAcentral
AGGGGAAGCCAACCGAGCGGGCGCGUGAUCCCGCCGGACCCCGUUGCCGGCAACAACGCGUGAGGGGAUAAGGGCGUCCCUCCGGCGCCUCGGUCUCCUCCCACCUACUGCCGCACCCACUCGCCCACUUGCCCGCCAUCUCCCUCCUCUCGCUCGCUCCAUCUUGCCGAAAACGGCCGGGCGCCAUCGUCGCCGUCUCCGCGUCGAUUCCCCGGCCACCAGCCGCCCCGCGCCGCCUGGAGGCGUCCAGGAGGCCGGCUGUCGUCGUAUGCGUCGGUUCCCCCUUCGGUUCGAGCCCGGGAGCUCCCCUUCGCCGGAUCGGGCGGCUCCCUCCGCCUCGGCCUCCACCAUCCCGCCGCCCCAAGUCGUCGCAUCCAGUCGUCCCCGGCCCCGUACGAGCUCGCCAUCAGCCCUCCCGCGACCUCGAGACUGCUGCCGAUGCCCCUGUGAUCGACUACGUGGACGACGAUCCUCCUUCUUGUCUGAGCAACCAGAUGGUGGAUCCUUGGAGCCAGAUGCCACCGCCGACGGAUACUACUACAUGGAGGCCGCCGAAGACCAGGAGUAGUUAGGAGGUCCCAGGCGGGAGGCCUUGCCUUUUCGAUCGUGUUGCUUUUGUGCUAGCCUUCUUAAGGCAAAACUUGUUUAACUUAUGUCUGUACUCAGAUAUUGUUGCUUUCGCUGACUCUUGUGUAUCGAGCUUGUAUUCGAGCCCUCGAGGCCCCUGGCUUGUAA